UACGUAGGUGGCAAGCGUUGUCCGGAUUUACUGGGCGUAAAGAGCGCGCAGGCGGUUGUUUAAGUCGAAUGUGAAAGCCCCCGGCUCAACUGGGGAGGGUCAUUCGAUACUGAUCGACUUGAAGGCAGGAGAGGGAAGUGGAAUUCCGGGUGUAGUGGUGAAAUGCGUAGAUAUCCGGAGGAACACCGGUGGUGAAGACGGUCUCCUGGGCCGAGGGCCGACGCUGAGGCGCGAGAGCGUGGGGAGCGAACCGG
Molecule: ribosomal RNA, 254 nt
Filed under: uncultured bacterium
Lineage: Bacteria
Description: partial 16S ribosomal RNA
Rfam family: Bacterial small subunit ribosomal RNA
Source: RNAcentral